AGAGUUUGAUCCUGGCUCAGGAUGAACGCUAGCGGGAGGCUUAACACAUGCAAGUCGAGGGGUAAGGAGAUAGCAAUAUUUCCCUAGACCGGCGCACGGGUGAGUAACGCGUAUGCAACCUGCCCUUUACGGGGGGAUAGCCCGGAGAAAUCCGGAUUAAUACCCCAUGGAUCUGCAGUCUCGCAUGAGACAACAGGUAAAGCUGAGGCGGUAAAGGAUGGGCAUGCGUGACAUUAGCUAGUUGGCGGGGUAACGGCCCACCAAGGCUACGAUGUCUAGGGGUUCUGAGAGGAAGGUCCCCCACACUGGUACUGAGACACGGACCAGACUCCUACGGGAGGCAGCAGUGAGGAAUAUUGGUCAAUGGGCGCGAGCCUGAACCAGCCAUCCCGCGUGCAGGAAGGAGGCCCUAUGGGUUGUAAACUGCUUUUGUGCAGGAAUAAAUGUACCCUCGUGAGGGUAUUUGAAGGUACUGCCAGAAUAAGCACCGGCUAACUCCGUGCCAGCAGCCGCGGUAAUACGGAGGGUGCAAGCGUUAUCCGGAUUUAUUGGGUUUAAAGGGUGCGUAGGCGGCAUUUUAAGUCAGUGGUGAAAACCUGCAGCUCAACUGUAGAACUGCCAUUGAAACUGAAGUGCUUGAGUUAUCUUGAGGUAGGCGGAAUGUGUAGUGUAGCGGUGAAAUGCUUAGAUAUUACACAGAACACCGAUUGCGAAGGCAGCUUACUAAGGAUACACUGACGCUCAGGCACGAAAGCGUGGGGAUCGAACAGGAUUAGAUACCCUGGUAGUCCACGCCGUAAACGAUGAUAACUCGCUGUUGGCGAUACACAGUCAGCGGCUUAGCGAAAGCGUUAAGUUAUCCACCUGGGGAGUACGCUCGCAAGAGUGAAACUCAAAGGAAAUUGACG
Molecule: ribosomal RNA, 908 nt
Filed under: uncultured bacterium
Lineage: Bacteria
Description: bacterial SSU rRNA
Rfam family: Bacterial small subunit ribosomal RNA
Source: RNAcentral